GACGAGCGCUGGCGGCGUGCUUAACACAUGCAAGUCGAACGGAAAGGCCCUGCUUUUGUGGGGUGCUCGAGUGGCGAACGGGGGAGUAACACGUGAGUAACCUGCCCUUGACUUUGGGAUAACUUCAGGAAACUGGGGCUAAUACCGGAUAUGAGCUCCUGCUGCAUGGUGGUGGUUGGAGAGUGUCGGCUGUGGGGUAUGGACUCGCUGCUUAUCAGCUUGUUGGGGGGGUAGUGGCUUACCAAGGCUUUGACGGGUAGCCGGCCUGAGAGGGUGACCGGCGACAUUGGGACUGCGAUACGGAGCAGACUCCUACGGGAGGCAGAAGGGGGGAAUAUUGCACAAUGGGCGGAAGCGUGAUGCAGAAACGCCGCGUGCGGGAUGAUGGCCUUCGGGUUGUAAACAGAUUUCGAAUGUGACGAAGCGUGAGUGACGGUAAUGGGUAAAGAAGCACCGGCUAACUACGUG
Molecule: ribosomal RNA, 468 nt
Filed under: uncultured bacterium
Lineage: Bacteria
Description: partial 16S ribosomal RNA
Rfam family: Bacterial small subunit ribosomal RNA
Source: RNAcentral